This 253-nucleotide ribosomal RNA is filed under the name uncultured bacterium. Its description in RNAcentral is "partial 16S ribosomal RNA". It matches the Rfam family "Bacterial small subunit ribosomal RNA", at positions 524 to 776 of the family's 1533-position model. The record is from RNAcentral.
UACGAAGGGGGCUAGCGUUGUUCGGAUUUACUGGGCGUAAAGCGCACGUAGGCGGAUCGUUAAGUCAGGGGUGAAAUCCUGGAGCUCAACUCCAGAACUGCCUUUGAUACUGAGGAUCUUGAGUCCGGGAGAGGUGAGUGGAACUCCGAGUGUAGAGGUGAAAUUCGUAGAUAUUCGGAAGAACACCAGUGGCGAAGGCGGCUCACUGGCCCGGUACUGACGCUGAGGUGCGAAAGCGUGGGGAGCAAACAGG